GCAGUCACAGUCAGACAGAUGAAACAAGACCCUGCUUAGUAAAAUAUCUUAUUUUGGUAUUGGCAGAUUGGGUGAAAAAAAAAAGAAAAUACUAUAAUUUUACCCAUUUACUUGGAUAACAUAAUAGUUAUCGAAUAUGAGUUCAUCAGGUUUUUUGCUCAAAAGUAAUAGUCUAAGUGAACCAAUAUAAAAGGAAGUAUCUAAAAACGAUAUCUGGAAAUAUACUGUACAGUAUCUAUGAAUGUGUUUUCAAAAUGAUGAAAUGACUUUUCUAACCUCGUCGUUAGGCCGUAAAUAAAGUAAUACAUAGGUUGUGGAGAUGAGGAUAGGAGGCUCAUGACUUUGCAGAUCUUGAAUAACUUACAUUUAGCUACUAUCUAUAGAAUGGCUUUUGCUUAAAAUUACACGAAUGGAGAGAACGUAAUUGAAUUUAAAAUAUACUUUGCGACGUAUUAAGUAUAAUUAGUGUUCAUUUUUUUGUCUUUUUUUUUUACUGAUGGUGUAGUUAUUUAUUUGGCCAUAUUGGGGGACAGGCUUAUGGGGCCAACAUAUGACAGUUUCGUUUGGUAUAUGUCUUAUUUAUUUGAUGCGUAAUUAUCGUGAACAAUGGGUUAUAAUUGGAAUAAUAAUUUUGUAUGAUUUUAUAUGACAUUUACAUUUACAUUUUAGUCAUUUAGCAGACGCUCUUAUCCAGAGCGACUUACAGUAGUGAAUGCAUACAUUUCAUACAUUUCUUUUUCUGUGCUGGCCCCCCGUGGGAAUCGAACGCACAACCCUGGCGUUGCAAACACCAUGCUCUACCAACUGAGCUCCAUAUGAGCGAGACUGAUUUAGAUUGACUGAAGUCAAUAAAUUGAUUUCUAAUCCUGACCCCGCAAUUGAUUAAUGUAAAAAAAAUGAUUUACUUAUCAGUUAAUACCAUGUUGACAAAUACAUUCAACGUAAGGAGAUGAUUGUUGCCAAGAAAAGGGUGUUUCUAAUGGCUUAUCAGAACAAGGCAACCAAAUGGAGCUUUUACGCAGAGGGUGGAACUCAUUCAGAACGGCAAGAUAAAACGUGAGCCUAUAGUUCACUGAUAAGCAGCCCUUUAGAUCGGUCCCUUUCAAGAAAGUCAACAUCUUUCUUUCUACCACAUUCUUGCUGUCUACCACAUUUUGCAGUGACUGGUGGUGUCUUAUUGUAUAUCCAUGGACUCAGAGGUACUUUGGAACCUUUGGAGACUUAAACAGCGCAGCGGCUAUCAUGGGCAAUAAAAAAGUUGCCAAACAUGGCAUCACUGUGCUGAACGGCCUGGAUUGAGCUGUGCAGAAUAUGGAUGACAUCAAGAACACCUACGUCGAGCUGAGCGUUCUGCACUCUGAGAAACGUCAUGUGGAUCCCGUCAACUUCAGGUGCUGGGCGACUGCCUCACCAUUGUUCUGGCCUCCCAGAUGGGGCGCGCCUUCACGCCAGACGUCCAAGCCGCCCAGCAGAAGUUCCUGACCGUGGUCGUCUCUGCGCUGGGCAGACUGUACCAUGAGAGACCUGUUCUAUUGUGGAAUACACAUAUAUAUUUUAUUAUAGAAGACAUUUUGUAUGAAUAAUAAAAUAUAUUGUUAAGCACA
Salmo salar (Atlantic salmon) is the source of this 1604-nucleotide non-coding RNA. The record is from RefSeq and is a predicted model, not a curated record. NCBI's taxonomy places the organism in Eukaryota, Metazoa, Chordata, Actinopteri, Salmoniformes, Salmonidae.